CAACCCUCAAGCCCCUCCGGGGACUUGGCGUUGGGAAUCGGCCCCACACACGGAGCCGGCCCCGAAAUUCAGUGGCGGUCUCGCCGCUGCCUCCUCUGCGUAGUAGAAACACCUCGCACUGGGAAGCGGCGCGGCCACGCCGUUCUUGUCCAUUAGACAUCUUUCAA
Molecule: unclassified non-coding RNA, 167 nt
Filed under: uncultured Hypocreales
Lineage: Eukaryota; Fungi; Ascomycota; Sordariomycetes; Hypocreales
Description: sequence contains ITS2
Source: RNAcentral